CAAAGCUUGCCACACAAUAUCUAGUUUUUGC
Molecule: non-coding RNA, 31 nt
Filed under: Rattus norvegicus (Norway rat)
Lineage: Eukaryota; Metazoa; Chordata; Mammalia; Rodentia; Muridae
Source: RNAcentral